GCAAGUGAGGUACAUCUGCUUUGCCACUGAUGCCAUUUGUGUUUUGGACCUGAUCAAUCAAUUUCUUAAGUGUAGAGGAAGUGACACCCAUGGAAAGGUGGUUCAUGCAUUGCCAGACUGCCCAAAGUUCUGUCCCUCGUGGGGGAAUUUCCACUGGUCCAUCUUAGCAGCUACUGAUAUUGUUUGCAGUUGAGUGUACCACAGUUCCAGCCACAAACAUUUCAGAGAUGUUGCUCAGGCCUGCUGUUUUAUUCUUCUUCAGUGAAUUGUUACCAGCUUCAUUAUCUGCCAUUGUGAAUGGUUUGGAAGAACUUGCUUCAGAUGUCCAGCAAAGGAUAAAAACCACUGGAAGAGUCCACUGUUAGAUCAAGCAUCUGCCCCUGAAGAUUUGGAAACCCCUUGGGAGCAAGCUAGGGCUGGAAAGAUAAGCAAUUGAAAAGCCAGCCUGCUUGAUGGAAAGAGUCAUCCUGAUACUGUCCAAUGUCAAAGAUUCCCCUGUUGGCUGACCAGGACAGCAAGAGCAAGGGAUGGCAUAGCUGAGAAGAGGAGGCACUGCUUGGCAUCAGAAUGGAGACCUCUUAGGGUGGAAGCUGGCAGUCACAGUCAGGAGAAUUGGGGGUGAAAAGUGGGAGAAACCAGGAUGCCAAGUGGAAGCCUUCUGGCACCUUACUCUAUGGGAGCCUCUGAAUCAUUCACAAUAAAAAUCCAGGUCCUGUUUCCUCUGCCUGGAUGUUCAGAACCAGCUUUUCUGAAGGCCAGUGCUAGACGUUCAUCCACACGUGUAUCGUGGGUAUGCAUGUACUGCAAUGGCACACAGAGAUCUGACAUUUGUGAGAACCUGUAUCUCUAAGUACGAGGUUCAGUUUCUGAGUGCAACAAAAGUCCUGGGAGCCAGGUCUGCAAACGUACAUUUAAGCCGCCUUUCUGCAGCCCAAAAUUGCCCACAGCAUUUCCCUGCAAGAAGUGGGGUGGGUAGACUUCCAGGGGAUCCUUGUUUAAAAUGUUUCCUCUAUAGAGGAUCCAAGAUCAAGGCAGCUUCCAUGAAUACAGGCAUGCUGUGCCAGUGGUCACACUGUAUCUCAGAGGUGGCUGUCUCUUAGUGAUCCUUUGUACAUACAUUAGGUAGCAAAGCAAUUUUGCAUUGAAGAUGUUUUAUAAGUGUGUCCUAUUAAUAAGGCAUUGGGACAUGUCUGGUAUAGCUUUCUAGACUCAUUUGUCGUAGGGAGUCUUUUGCAUAAAGAAUCAGGGUGGGGAGAAAGGCCAUUUUACUUUUUUUUUUAAUCACUUUAAUUUGUUUUUAUGUAAAUUCUACCCUUGGGGGGGGGGUGUUUAAUGUCUGCAAUCUGCAGAGCUGGUUUUGCAAAUAAACAAGCCAGAGCUCUGGGUCCCAGGCCACUGGGGGCCACCAAGAGGCUAAGUUAGUUCAAGUAAGCCAAUACGUAGGUGGCAGGGAAGAAGUAGGGGCAAGCCAUGUGUUACCUCUGCCUGUGCUCCCCACAAGGCUCUGAUAAUCUGUGUGUGUGUAGAACUGGAUCUAUGCACAACUGCAUAUGUUUUGGUGUAUUGUGUAAAUGCAACUGCACAUGCUGUGAUUUAAUGACAAUGUGAUAAUAGAGUCAAGAACAGGCAGAAUACAAUGGUCCCACCAUCUGCUAGAGUUUAUGAUACAACCUAGCAUCUUAAAUAUCUUUAAGAAUAUUUUGAUUUGUUGAAAUCACUGAACCCCUGUUUCCCAUCAGACCCAGGAAAUCAUUUGCAAAUGUAACCUUAAAUGCUUAGAGCUCACAGUCUCCACCUCUCUGCUUUAGAUGACAAUUAUAACUGCCAUUUGUAUAGAUUCCAUUCUGAAGCUCUGGCCUACAUAACAGUUAAGUGACAAGAGAAGAUGAAAAGGGGGUAACAGAGAAAGAAACAAAUUUGAAUGUAUAUUUGUGGAGGCAUAGAAAUGCUGAUCCUCAGUGCCAGGACAAUCAAGAAACCAGCCCAUGUGUGUAUUACAGUGGUUCUCCAUGCCAGGCAGGAAGCCAACUGAGAAGAGGCUGCAGGUGAAAUUCCUGCUAACUGUUUUAUGCCUCUUUGGGCCUCAGGAAUCACUAAGUGAAAGGGAUCUGGCUCCCAGAUUAAAAAAAAAAAAUACAGGUUCUUGGGGAGCGUGGUCAGAUUGUGGCAACUUUCUGUAGGGAGCUGAAGCAAGUCACAGACAGUUUGCACCCUGGGCCAUGUUUUUGGUGAUUAAAAGCAAUCAUCUCCUGGGCAUAUUGUGGGUGGAGACGUCUGGGUUGGCUGGACAGAACCUAUUGAGGAUUAGUCCUUUAAAUGGCUCCAUUUGGCCAGUAUCACCUCCUUAGAUCUAUAUUGAAAUGCCCUUCUAUUAAUAAAUAACUCCAUUCUCCAUUCUCCCAUCUCUGGAGCUCACGUCUAAGUAAGUGGGAAUCUGGGUUUGGUUUUUAUAGACAUCAGAACUAGAUUUUAUCUUUAUUAAGGGUUCUCUCCCCACCCCACCCCCAAUCUUUGUUCCAUAGCACUGAGCAAAUCAGUAGGAUGUAAAGAAAAAAAACACUGGAUUUUAUUUUGCUGUGAUUUAUCUCACCCAGAGAGAGUCACUCUUUUUUAAGUCAUGAAAAAAGCUUAUAAAGGAAGCCCAGUUUCUCCCAUUGCAAGAAGGAUCUGUCUUUAGCACUAAAUCUGAAUGAAUAAUUUGUAUUUAGAGCAAAUGAGAGAUUUAGCUUUUUCUUUAAGUCACUGGGCUUUUUUUCAUGCUCCUUUAAUAUCCCUAUUAAAAUGUUCUUGGAUGCAUUCCUGAUUUUAAACCAUUCAAUCAGUAUUGGCAUAAUUUUUACUUAACUGAAUCAGGAACAUUCCUCUGAACACAUUUGAUUUUUGAAAUAUGCUGAUUAGUUUGAUUGGUCAGAUAAUUCACAUGGUACAGUUUCUGUUCUUUGAUUGGAUAAGUGUGCAGUGCCUGGCAUGAAAACUGGUAGACAUAAAUUAAA
Alligator mississippiensis (American alligator) is the source of this 2993-nucleotide long non-coding RNA. RefSeq lists it as uncharacterized. NCBI's taxonomy places the organism in Eukaryota, Metazoa, Chordata, Crocodylia, Alligatoridae. The record is from RefSeq and is a predicted model, not a curated record. The transcript has 5 exons.